This 3698-nucleotide long non-coding RNA is filed under the name Solanum tuberosum (potato). Its description in RNAcentral is "long non-coding RNA (STUB_LNC004681)". The record is from RNAcentral. Lineage: Eukaryota; Viridiplantae; Streptophyta; Magnoliopsida; Solanales; Solanaceae.
CACCAAUUAUUUAUGCUAAGUUGUUCUAGUUUUAUUAACGCAUUCUUUUGUAAUAAUACUAAUCCACUAUUUGGGUCUUCUCCUGUUAUUAGGCUGUGUAGUUUAUUAGUAAAGUUGUAUGGGUUUGGUCCCAUGCUUACCAAUUCUUCGAACUUUUGAGGGUAAACUACUUUGUAUGCUUCCCAUACUCCUUUAAUUGAUUCUCCUAAAAAGGUCUCCAUAUACCUAUGCAUGGUUUCUGCAUCUGUUUCACUGUAAUGAUGUAUGUAGUCUGCUACCACUAUACCUUUCCAUACGUCUACUGAAUUCCAUAAUUGGGGGUCAUGUGCUGCUAUAUUUAGUAUGUUUCUUCUAUCUCCCCCUUCUUGAAGUUUGAUAGGAGCUUCUAUUGGCAUUCUUAUUCCUUUUGGUCUAACCAUUUCUGGUUCAGUAGCUAGGUCUUGUCUAAAGACUUUGUGCCUAAAUUCUUUUGGAAGGGACUUGAACUAGUCGAGGCGGUUUCCCUAAAUUCUUUUAAACUACGUGCUGUCUCGUCAUCACUUUCUUAUUGUGUAUCUUCCUCCUGUCUAUACUCGUAAUUGUCUGUUCUAGAUCUGUAUUCUUUAAAGUGUCUUUCUACACUUGAGAAGUUUAUUCCUCUUAGUUUGCAGCCUUUACAUCUGAAGAUUGCUUUUGUAUCUGAUUCGUGUAUUUCUUUAGCUUUCUUUAUUGAUUUAUCUACUUCGUAGUCGUCUUCUUUUACGAUCUGAAUAUUCAUUCCUUCCAUGUUUAUUAUUGUUUCGGUGGUGUUGUCUUCGAGGUAUUCAUCUAUUUCUUUUUGGUCUGAAUAUUUAUAGUCGGUAAAUCUGAUUGAGGUUUGUCCUUUGUUAUUAGUAUAUGUAAGGUGGUCAUUGGGUCUUAAAACUUCUUUUUUACAUAAUUUCCCUAAAUUCCAUUCUCUACCAGCAUAUUAUUCCGAGUUUAUUUUUAACGGUUUCAUUAGUUUUAUUCCCUUAUUUCACAUUAAACCUACCACAUCGUCUAUUUUGAUUUUAAACUUGGAGCUGCUGCUAGUGGCUAAUUUUCCUAUGAAGCCUAUGCUUACUAGCAAAUUAUUUUCACAGUUCAUUUCUUCGUAACCUUUAGUUUGAAUCCCUAUUUUUAUGUACUUACCAAAUUCGGUUGAAUUUAUCAUAAAGUCUAGGCUACAGUAAAAUAUUCCUCCGUUGUUGGUCAUAUCUACUUCUGUUAGACCUAUUUUAGAUCUUUUUUAUUCUGCCCAUCUAUCAUCAUAUAAAGUAAUUAGCACUUUUGUUCCUAGAUUUUUUCUAGUUAAUCCUUUAAGUCCAAUUACAAUUAAUCCCAUAUGCAUGAGAUUCAUCCUUCUUUUUUGUAUUUCUUUCAUAGAUUAUUUGCUAAUUAAACUUUUACUUUCACUAUUGUCUCCUGAUAUGCACAUCUGUUUUUCUCUAUUGUGUCUGUAUAAUUGUGCUUUUGAAGAGAAUAGUCCUGUAUUAUAAAGUACUUGUGGGUUUAGAAGUUUUAAUCUAUUUUUCUGAAAAAUUUCUAUACCUUUGUCUAUAUUAUUUCAUCUAAUUGUUGACUGCUACUAGGUCUGGACGAGUUCAUUAUCCUGGCUAACACAUUAUUUCCUAAUCUAUCUUGAAAGAAACUGGCCCUUUGUCAUUCUUGGGGAGCUCUACUCCUGUUUGAAAAAAGGUCCAUGCCUUGUCCUUUUUUGUCACUUUAGGUCUAUCCUUUAGGGGCGUCAUUUCUGUUUUCUUUAGUUGUUCUAUCAGGUCUUGUAUAUUUUUAUCUAUUUUGUUUUUUCUUCAAGGAUUUUAUUUUCUAAUAAAAUAUCUAAUUUUUUAUUAAUUUCUGUGAUCUUAUCUUCUAGUUUUCUGUUUAAUUCUAAUAGCGCGAAAAUUAUUAUAUUAUUCUGUUUCACUUCUAUUAGGUCUGUUUUUCCUGGUGGUGUAUAUUCUGAUAAACAUUCGGGAUUGACUUGAAAUUGUGCUGCCCUUUUUAAAACUUCUUGGUAAAAAGGAUCGUUCAUGAAAGGGUUAAGUCUUUAAGUUAGUUUAAUUUUUCUUUUAUUUUUAUAGAUUUUGGUGGAGAUGUUUUAGUCUUUUAUUUAUAUCUUCUAUUGUACUAUUGUUAUUUCUGUUAUUAUUAUUUGCUAUAAUCCCUUGUAAUUUUAUAUUUAUAUCUAAUUGUUCCGUUUUUAAGAAAUCAAAAUUAAUUUCUUUUUUUUCUAAUAAUUUUUUAUGUUGAUUUUGCAGUCUUUCUAAAGUUUCUGUUGACUUUAGUAUUCUAUCGUCUUCUAACUGAGUGUGUUCUGCUAGAUUUAUUAUAAGGUCUGUAAUAGUGUUUAAGUGAUGAUUAUCGUUAUGUAAGAUGUGGUCUCCUUCUGUAAAGUUAUACCUGAUUACUGAACCAUGCUUUAGCGUUCUAUAUUUCUUUUCAGAAAUUAUUUCUAAGUCUAAAUAUUCUAAAUUCUUAGUACUUCCUAUUGUAGUAUUUUUAAGCAAGAUACCAAGUUUUUUAUUUCUAUCGUAUUGUUCUUGUCGGAUUUGUUGGAGGUAAUGGUCAAUUCUAGACCCUAUUCUUGGUAAUUGUAAAUCUAUUUGUCUAAUUUUUUGGUUUAUUGAAUUUAUUUUUACAAAUGAUAUUAAGCUGGGAUAUAACUGUUGUUGUUCUAAAUAUAGUUGUCUUUGUUCUAUUAGAAAGUCAUAUAUACUUGAAUAAUUUUCUUUUAUUUUUUAAAGAUACCAGUGAUAUUCUUGGUCAAUUAUUAUCUAUCUUUCGUAAGGUCGAGGCUUUCUUUUGGCUAUUCUGGUUGGCAUAUAUUUAAAAUAUUAGAUGUUUUUAUCAAAUGUUCUACUGGUCUCAUACAAGAUUGUAACAUAAGCUUUGAUACCAAUAAAAAGGUCGUUUAAAUUAAAUAAAGGAAUAAUAACACAAAUAACAAUAGUACAAUAGAAGAGAUAAAUAAAAAAACUAGAACAUCUUCACAAAGCAUCUAAAGAAAUAAAAUAAAAAUUAAACUAACUUAGAGACUUAACCCUUUCAUGAACGAUCCUUUUUACCAAGAAGUUUUUAAAAUGGCAGCACAAUUUCAAGUCAAUCCCGAAGGUUUAUCAGAAUAUACACCACCAGAAAAAACAGACCUACAUCGUCGUUACUAAGAGGGUAGGGAACUAACCAUUUACUAAGAGUAAGUAAAGACUCAGUAUAUGGGUAUAAACAGUUCAUGUAUAAACUGUACAUUUUUCUUGUAGUAUCUCCAUUACAUGUUGUACUUUAUGUCCUAUGGACCAAUUCGUUGUUGGAUUUUGCAUCACUCCUUCUCUUUUAUUUCAUCUUUCUUCUAUUUCUCUUCCUAGGGCUCCAGGGAGCUUAUUGAAAAGUUUCUUUCCUAAACUUUGGUCAAACACGUUACCCCUUAUGGCGCAAUAAUAGAAGAAGUCUUUUAGGAAGUUCUUUAUAUGACAUUAAUUAUUUAUGCAAAGUCGUUCUAGUUUUAUUAAUGCAUUCUUUUGUAAUACUACAAAUCCAUUAUUUAGGUCUUCUCCUGUUACUAGGUUGUGUAUUUUAUUAGUAAAGUGGUACGGGUUUGGUCCCAUGUUUACCAAUUCUUGGAACUCUUGAGGGUAAGCUACUUUGUAUGCUUCCCAUACUCCUUUAAUUGAUUCUCCUAAAAAGAUCUCCAUAUACCU